This is a long non-coding RNA of Herpailurus yagouaroundi (jaguarundi), 1036 nucleotides long. RefSeq lists it as uncharacterized. The record is from RefSeq and is a predicted model, not a curated record. The transcript has 3 exons. Lineage: Eukaryota; Metazoa; Chordata; Mammalia; Carnivora; Felidae.
AAGCCCAAUGUGAGGCUCAAACUCAUGAGCCAAGACAUCAUGACUUGAGCCAAAGUCGGAUGCUCAACUGACUGAGCCAUCCAGGUGCUCUGAUAGCUCAUUUCUCUUGAGUGCUGAAUCAUAUUCUAACAUGUGGACAUACUACCUUCUCUUAGCCUCAGUCUACAGGGCUCUGGGUAGCGGAGGCUGAGAGAAUUUGUAAUAAUGAUAAGCAUGAAUGUUCUAAGUGCUCAAUACCACCCACUCUGCUGAAUGCCUCUUUCUGCCCUACGUUACCUCAUCCUUCCUAAAACUUGUCACAUAGGUCUUAGGAACAACCGCCCGCCCCUUCCCGUACAGAUGAAGACACUAAAGCUUAGGGGGAGAUAAAUCAUUGGUCAAGGCCACAGAUCCAGGAAGGGAACGGUCUGGAAUUCGAACCCAAAUGUUCUGACUCCAGGUUUUAGUAUUGAAGCUAUAACCUUCCAGGAAGAUUCUUGCCAGUGUUUGGCACAUAGAGAAAAACGUGUCACCAAACUUAUUAUUGUUACAAUUUUUGCAGCAGAGCCAUUUAAAUUGGAAGGUCACGAUUCUUUUCUAAAGGGAAAUAUGAGGCACUGUUGGGGGUGGGGGGGUCAGAAACUUCCUCAUGCCUCACAAGCCUGGAACCAGAAUUAAAAGCCAGGGUUAAUGGAGGCUCUGAGUUGCUCCGAAGAGAGUACUGGUGGGUUUUUUUAAGGUAUCAUCUCCUGAGCACUUACAGAUAGGUUAUCCCAUCCAAUGCUACAACAACCCAUUUUAGGAAACAGAAGAGCCCAGGAGACUCAGCUCUGCUCAUCAUCCACCCCUGAAGCUUCUCCUGUGUUUUCUGCCCCACCCCGCCCCCACCUCCCCGCUCCCCACCACAGCCUGGCCAACAUUUGCAGCUCCGGGCGUGCGUCACGGCACAGAGGCAGCCCGGGAACGUCUGGGUCUGACCGGUGUCUGGCCUGAGGUGUGGGUGCCUUGGCAGCCGGCUCCAGCUCUUCCUCAUCUUCCUGGGUCAUAGCUUUACCUG